RNAcentral lists this ribosomal RNA (383 nucleotides) under uncultured eukaryote. RNAcentral's name for it is "partial 18S ribosomal RNA". It matches the Rfam family "Eukaryotic small subunit ribosomal RNA", at positions 592 to 976 of the family's 1831-position model. The record is from RNAcentral.
CAAUAGCGUAUAUUAAAGUUGUUGCAGUUAAAAAGCUCGUAGUUGGAUUUCUGGUGGGAGCGAUCGGUCUGGCGCUUAGCGCGAGUACUUGCAUCGUCUCCGGCCAUCCUUGGGGAGAGUCUGUCUGGCAUUAGGUUGUCGGGCAGAGGAUCCUCAUCGUUUACUGUGAAAAAAUUAGAGUGUUCAAAGCAGGCUUAUGCCGUUGAAUAUAUUAGCAUGGAAUAAUAAGAUAGGACUUUGGUACUAUUUUGUUGGUUUGCGCACCAAAGUAAUGAUUAAUAGGGACAGUUGGGGGUAUUCGUAUUCCGUGGUCAGAGGUGAAAUUCUUGGAUUUACGGAAGACGAACUACUGCGAAAGCAUUUACCAAGGAUGUUUUCAUUAA